UGCUAAUAUAUUAUUCAUACUGUAGAAACUUGCAAUGCUAACUCAAUCCAUAGGAGAAUUUGAUGAUAUGGACAUUGAUAAGUCACCAGGAUAUUGGCCACGCAACAGCUAUUUUGGUGCUUACUAUAGAACUAGCUUUUGUCGCUUCCAACCGGACACACUCAUAUCCACACUACUUUUGCAGUGGCACUCAUUUUGGUGUAUAUAAUGCCACUUUUCUUAUUGUGUUCCUUCAAACUUGGGUUACAUGAUAGUUGCAACACUAAAUGUGCCUCUUAUGAAAUGUAUUGAUAUAUUAUUAUGUACGAAACCAUAAACUACUAUGAACGUCGAUAUAUUAUAUAUGUUCCAAUUCUACUUC
Panicum virgatum (switchgrass) is the source of this 361-nucleotide long non-coding RNA. RefSeq lists it as uncharacterized. The transcript is spliced from 2 exons. Lineage: Eukaryota; Viridiplantae; Streptophyta; Magnoliopsida; Poales; Poaceae. The record is from RefSeq and is a predicted model, not a curated record.